CUGAGUUCAUUUAAGACAAUAAUGGAAAUUAGAGAUGAAUUAAGGAUGAUAAUAUAGGAAUUGGGUUCAUCGUGUGUCCAUCCUUUGAGCUACUUUAGAAAGUGUGACCCAAACACAUUUAUGAGAUAUAACAAAUUUGGUUCAUUGACGAUGGUUACGUAAUUCCUAUGUGCCUAUACUUAAAAAGGACAAGAAGAAAAUGGGUACUCAACAAGAUUCAGAUCUUUCUUUAGGUUAUGAUUUUCUAAGCAAUCAAGUACCUUACAGAAUCAUGCAUCACAUAUAAUUGAAAGAAACAUUUUUCAACUUUCGUAGUGAUUCAAUAAAUGAAAUGGUAAUUAUAUAAUAUUAAUAUACACCUUCUUGAUUGAUUGUCUUUCACGUGUGAAUAUUCUUCAAUAAAUUUUUUUCUUCCCUUUGUCUGCUUCACAAUGUAUCUAAUGAUGCAUCGGUUUGGAAUUGUGAUGAAAAACAGCAUGGGAGGGUGAGGGUCUGUGUGCCUCACUGCCUUGGAUCCAUAAUAAUGCCAUAAGCCCAUAAUGGUUAAAUAAACAAAACAAAACAAAACAAAACAAAUAAAAUAAAAAAUCGAUGUAUCUAAUUAAAAAU
Molecule: long non-coding RNA, 609 nt
Filed under: Cicer arietinum (chickpea)
Lineage: Eukaryota; Viridiplantae; Streptophyta; Magnoliopsida; Fabales; Fabaceae
Description: long non-coding RNA (CARI_LNC001607)
Source: RNAcentral